Molecule: ribosomal RNA, 1479 nt
Filed under: Ralstonia pickettii
Lineage: Bacteria; Pseudomonadati; Pseudomonadota; Betaproteobacteria; Burkholderiales; Burkholderiaceae
Description: bacterial SSU rRNA
Rfam family: Bacterial small subunit ribosomal RNA
Source: RNAcentral
UUCACCCCUGCAAUUGGAANCGGGAGCGGGGGAAAAGCUUUCUUUUUUCCUGCCGGCGAAAAGUGGGGAAANCGGGGUGNAGUAAUACCUUCGGAAACGUGCCCCUGUAGGUGGGGGAUAACUUUUCGAAAGGUUUUGNCUAAUCCCCGCAUAGGCCCCUGGGGGUGAAAAGUGGGGGACCCGCAAGGCCCUCNAUGCUAUAGGAGCGGCCGAUUUUUGUUUAGCUAGUUGGUGGGGUAAAGGCCUUCCCAAGGGGACGAUCCAGUAGCUUGUUUUNGAGAGGACGAUCAGCCCCCCCUGGGAUUGGGACCCGGCCCAGAUUCCUACGGGAGGCAGCAGUGGGGAAUUUUGGACAAUGGGCGAAAGCCUGAUCCAGCAAUGCCGGCGUGUGUGAAGAAGGCCUUCCGGGUUGUAAAGCACUUUUGUCCGGAAAGAAAUGGCUCUGGUUAAUACCCGGAGUUGAUGACGGUACCGGAAGAAUAAGGACCGGCUAACUACGUGCCAGCAGCCGCGGUAAUACGUAGGGUCCAAGCGUUAAUCGGAAUUACUGGGCGUAAAGCGUGCGCAGGCGGUUGUGCAAGACCGAUGUGAAAUCCCCGGGCUUAACCUGGGAAUUGCAUUGGUGACUGCACGGCUAGAGUGUGUCAGAGGGAGGUAGAAUUCCACGUGUAGCAGUGAAAUGCGUAGAGAUGUGGAGGAAUACCGAUGGCGAAGGCAGCCUCCUGGGAUAACACUGACGCUCAUGCACGAAAGCGUGGGGAGCAAACAGGAUUAGAUACCCUGGUAGUCCACGCCCUAAACGAUGUCAACUAGUUGUUGGGGAUUCAUUUCCUUAGUAACGUAGCUAACGCGUGAAGUUGACCGCCUGGGGAGUACGGUCGCAAGAUUAAAACUCAAAGGAAUUGACGGGGACCCGCACAAGCGGUGGAUGAUGUGGAUUAAUUCGAUGCAACGCGAAAAACCUUACCUACCCUUGACAUGCCACUAACGAAGCAGAGAUGCAUUAGGUGCUCGAAAGAGAAAGUGGACACAGGUGCUGCAUGGCUGUCGUCAGCUCGUGUCGUGAGAUGUUGGGUUAAGUCCCGCAACGAGCGCAACCCUUGUCUCUAGUUGCUACGAAAGGGCACUCUAGAGAGACUGCCGGUGACAAACCGGAGGAAGGUGGGGAUGACGUCAAGUCCUCAUGGGCCCUUUUGGGUAGGGCUUCACNACGUCCUACAAUGGUGCAUACAGANGGGUUGCCAAGCCGCGGGGUGGAGCUAAUCCCAGAAAAUGCAUCGUAAUUCCGGAUCGUAGUCUNNGCAACUCGCCUACGUGGAAGCUGGGAAUCGCUUAGUAAUCCGCGGAUCAGCAAUNGCCCGCGGUGAAAUACUUUCCCGGGNUCUUNNNGUACACACCGCCCGUCACACCAUGGGGGGGUGGGCUUUCCCAGAAGUAUUUUUCCUAACCGCACGGGGGGGGAUUAUUCCCGGGUGGGGU